This is a non-coding RNA of Oryza barthii, 204 nucleotides long. Lineage: Eukaryota; Viridiplantae; Streptophyta; Magnoliopsida; Poales; Poaceae. The record is from Rfam.
UUUAAGUGCAACCGUGAGUUUCCGUGUCCAAUUUUAAUCAUCUAUCUUAUUUGAAAUUUUUUUAUAAUUAGUAUUUUUGUUGUUACGAGAUGAUAAAACAUUAACAACACUUUACUCAUGACUUAUGUUUUUAAUGUUUUUUUAAAAAAAAUAAAUAAGAUGGACUAUCAAAAUUUGGUACGAAAAAUCAUGGCUGCACUUAAA